GCUUAACCGAAGAAGUGCAUCGGAAACUGGGUGACUUGAGUGCAGAAGAGGACAGUGGAACUCCAUGUGUAGCGGUGGAAUGCGUAGAUAUAUGGAAGAACACCAGUGGCGAAGGCGGCUGUCUGGUCUGCAACUGACGCUGAGGCUCGAAAGCAUGGGUAGCGAACAGGAUUAGAUACCCUGGUAGUCCAUGCCGUAAACGAUGAGUGCUAGGUGUUGGAGGGUUUCCGCCCUUCAGUGCCGGAGCUAACGCAUUAAGCACUCCGCCUGGGGAGUACGACCGCAAGGUUGAAACUCAAAGGAAUUGACGGGGGCCCGCACAAGCGGUGGAGCAUGUGGUUUAAUUCGAAGCUACGCGAAGAACCUUACCAGGUCUUGACAUCUUGCGCUAACCUAAGAGAUUAGGCGUUCCCUUCGGGGACGCAAUGACAGGUGGUGCAUGGUCGUCGUCAGCUCGUGUCGUGAGAUGUUGGGUUAAGUCCCGCAACGAGCGCAACCCUUGUUACUAGUUGCCAGCAUUCAGUUGGGCACUCUAGUGAGACUGCCGGUGACAAACCGGAGGAAGGUGGGGACGACGUCAGAUCAUCAUGCCCCUUAUGACCUGGGCUACACACGUGCUACAAUGGUCGGUACAACG
RNAcentral lists this ribosomal RNA (637 nucleotides) under uncultured bacterium. Its description in RNAcentral is "bacterial SSU rRNA". It matches the Rfam family "Bacterial small subunit ribosomal RNA", at positions 607 to 1244 of the family's 1533-position model. The record is from RNAcentral.